UGAGCAAUCUGCCCUUCUCAUCGGAAUAAGCGUUGGAAACGACGUCUAAUGCCGAAUACGACCUCCUUUCGCAUGAUCGGAGGUGGAAAGUUCCGGCGGUCAUGGAUGGGCUCGCGGCCUAUCAGCUGGUUGGUGAGGUAAUGGCUCACCAAGGCUUCGACGGGUAGCCGGCCUGAGAGGGUGACCGGCCACACUGGGACUGAGACACGGCCCAGACUCAUANAGGA
RNAcentral lists this ribosomal RNA (227 nucleotides) under uncultured bacterium. Its description in RNAcentral is "partial 16S ribosomal RNA". It matches the Rfam family "Bacterial small subunit ribosomal RNA", at positions 118 to 346 of the family's 1533-position model. The record is from RNAcentral.